Molecule: long non-coding RNA, 706 nt
Organism: Mastomys coucha (southern multimammate mouse)
Lineage: Eukaryota; Metazoa; Chordata; Mammalia; Rodentia; Muridae
Exons: 2
Source: RefSeq, a predicted model, not a curated record
CUGACUGGGAGGUCCUCACGGGCAGACCCACGGGAGGUGAGGAUUAGUCUGCUCUGGAGCGGUAUUGUGUGGCCGACCGACCACUCGAGAGGGUCAGGCGGACCCAGUGAUACCAGCCAGGUUGCUUCCAGCUCUGUCACAGUGGAACUCCUCAGUCACGGGGACAGCCGCAGACUCACUGGAUUCUCUCCAUGCUAAAUCCCAUUCUGGAAAAGCCAGUCCCCCAGAGAAGUUUUAUUUAAGAAUGUCAUUUCAGAGCACGGCGCCUUGUGGAUGCCAAUCGGAUCUCUUUAUUAUUCAAGCUAAAGCCAAGCAAAUUUCUAAAAUUCUACAAUCUGUGGUAAAUUGGACCAGCUUUGAAGUCAGAGAGAAAUCUCACCUAGUCACCUGAGAAGCCAUGGCCGAGUUUACAGUCUCCAGACAGAGACCCAGGCAAGGCCGCUGGCCUGGGCUCCCUCUGUGAAGGUCUCAGUGUGGAACCCACGUGGCUCCUUCCAGAUUCGGCGACACAGACACAGAUGCCACCAUCAGGGCUGGGGAAUGUCCCUCUACGUGGGACUCAAACCCACAGCCCAUCCCCAUCUCUCUGCCUGCAGUGCACUGUGAAUUGAUAUUUUUUAUAAAACCUGUAAUUAUCUUGCAACUAGCAUAAUUACGUUGCAUUAUGAUUUAAAUGUAAAACUCAAAACACACUGCGGUUCCCUAA